RNAcentral lists this long non-coding RNA (559 nucleotides) under Sarcophilus harrisii (Tasmanian devil). RNAcentral describes it as "lncRNA (ENSSHAG00000029290.1)". The record is from RNAcentral. Lineage: Eukaryota; Metazoa; Chordata; Mammalia; Dasyuromorphia; Dasyuridae.
GGAGGAGGAAGGAGGGAGGAGGCAGGGUAACAGAGAGAAGGGGGAUGGGGAAGGACCUGCUCUUGCACUUAGAGACGGAUGGAUGGGAGUCUACCUAAUGGCUGUAAUCCGUGUCCUCAAACUGAAUCUCUGGGCUCACAGGGGUUUAGCCUCAGGGGCUUCUCAACAACAAUCUUUACUUUGGAUUUCCACCCAAGAUUUCCCCAGAGUCAUCAAAGUCCAGAAGUAGGACAAAAGUCAAGGUGACUGGAGAUGGCCCAGGAUGCAGUGGAUGGCCCUAGAAUCUUUGAUACCUGUCCAAACUCUAAGCACUCCACAGCCCCUGUUUCAGGAGUUUAAAGUAAAAAGGAAGAGAAAUUUAUUUCAGACUAAUGUGAUUGGACCACUUGGAGGUUGCUUUUAUUUUAUUUUUUUAAACAUUGACAUACCUGAACAUGGUCUACUAACAUCUUAUGGCCUUCUAUAAUACUGGACCUUGGCCGUUAAGAUUCUUCCUUCUAAUCUUAGACCUACCAUUAAUUUGCCUUGUGUCUGCGGAUAAGCCAUUUUAAUUCAGUUG